RNAcentral lists this long non-coding RNA (239 nucleotides) under Volvox carteri. RNAcentral describes it as "long non-coding RNA (VCAR_LNC003953)". The record is from RNAcentral. Lineage: Eukaryota; Viridiplantae; Chlorophyta; Chlorophyceae; Chlamydomonadales; Volvocaceae.
UCGCAUCAGGCGCAGCCCUACAUCGCACAACGAUUCAUCAUACCAUCAACUAGAUGCCAGAAAGGUGGCGGGACAUGCCGCAUGCGAACGCGCACGCAAUUAGAACCCUGCCGUGAGAUGCGUCGGUGGCUGUGAGGCAGGUGGGGACUUGCGUGGAGGCUGAAAGGGCUUCCGGACGCAUAAAUCGCAUCAGGCGCUGUCGUACGCCGGACCAACGAUGCAUCAUAACAUCAACUAGU